UUUUCUUAUGCAAUCGUUAUCGAUGCGCCUGCGCACAAGAGCUUGAUGAUCUUCGUGCAUUUACACGUGAAUAUUGCUUACAAACUAGCUAGCAAGCUACCCAGGCGCUCGGCCGAGACAGCGGGAGCGCGAGCAGGUACCGUGGGUUGUUUGUUCAGUUCAGUGCAUACCGUAUGCGUGUGCACAUGCUAGCUCUCGGCGGUACGGUCGGCGGCGGCCCAUCUGCUUUGUUGAACGUGGCUUGCACUGCACUCAACAUUGCCAUUGUCCUUAUGAACUUGGGCCGGUUCAAGUUUAUGACAUAAUCUGAUGGUGUAGAAGUAUUAAAUCUCUGGAACUAAUUUGUUACCUAUUGCAGGAAGCUCUGCCUCUGGACAAAAAGCAGCGAAGGCAAGCCCGCAAGAUACGGAUCCUUGAGCCUUUGAGGUUAUUAUAUAAGGUCAAUACUUGAACUAGUGCAGUCAUCAUGAUCAUCUCCAGAAUACCCGGGAGGCUCUUCCCCAGCAGAAUUAUACAGGUGAACAACACCACCUCACCCCAGAGUGAGCGAAUCCCAGCCCCUAGGUCAGCUCUGGUCAUCCUGUGCCUAGGGGUUUGUCUCUCCAUGUUCAGUGCUCAUCGACUUCAUACGACAUGUUCGCUCAGACAUGUCAAAGAUAAGUAGAUUUAUAAUGGACUAGUGACCUGAAAAUGGACACUGAUAGAGACAUGUUCAUGUGACAGAACCUGCAGGACAGGCUGUAUAUUGACCUGAUCGAGGUUAUUUUGAGCCUGGAUUGUUAGCGGAUAGAGGAAUGCAUAAGACCAUUGAGACGGCAAUCGCUUGAGCAAGCCAUAUGAUAUGUGCCAUGGUGCCAUUCAGUUGAAGUGGAUUGUUUGUAACAAGAACGGUGAAGACUCAUCCUGAUUGGAUAACACAGUUCUGUGAAUACAUGUAACUUGUAGAACUUUCAGAGAACAUCCAAGAACAAGUGCCUAAUUGAUGGUCAGUGCUUCACACAAACAUUUUAUAGGCAUUCUGUUUUUUAUUUCACGUUUCAAGGUAUUCAUGCGAGUGCUCGUUAAACCUUGGCAAUUAAAGAAAUCAUUUGAUGUGUAGACUUGUCUGCAAAUUAUUUUUGGAGUUAUAUUCCUAUUUCUUAGUCCUGAGCUAUCUGUUGUUAAAGUUUGAUAGUUCUCAUCUGAUCUCAUUUCCAAUAUUUAUUAUUAGGUAAAAUCAAAUAAUGAAUGUAAAAAAGAAUAUUUUCCCAGAAUGUCAAAUGAGAUAAUCAAUGCUUAGAAUUGCUGGGCGAUAUUUUGAUAUUGAAAAAAUAUUGAAUAUUCGGUAAUGGUUUCAUGACUUUGUUGAUCUUUCAAGAUAAUAUGAUAUGACCAAAAUUGUAAUACUGUCACUUAUGAAAAAUUAAUCACUAUUUAUUGACUACAAUUGCCAUUCUGUAUUGCUUUAAACCAACUCAACAUAAAGUUGGUACACAAAUUCCCACUUUUCAUGGACAAGCACAGAUUAUAGCCUUGCUUUUUGUAUCCCUCAUUCUUGCUCUCACGGCAUUGCUUACUUUCAUAAUGAACGUAUGAUAAUGAAUUUUCCGACUUGGCGUUGUUAUGUGUUAUUGGAGAUAUUUUGUUGGCGAUAGAUGUCCAGCACUGCACUAAUGCCUACAUGUCUUAUGAUAAGUAAUUGACAAACUCAUGUCAAGGUCAUAAAUUCCCAAUAUCAUACAUUACAUGUAUCUCAGUCAUCUGAAUGCUUAAAAUUUGCACUAAACCCAACCCUCUAGUCUUCAGUUGACUUCAAUAUCAGUAUAAAGUCCUUUAAAAAAUGUAUGAUUUUAUAUUUUUUCAUUGAUUUGUUAACUUUCUAAUCUUACAACAGAAGAUGGGGAUGAUGGUGUGUGGAUGUUUAUAUGUAUAUGCCUACAUGUACAAGUACAUGGAAAUGUAGCUCUCCUGCCCACAUGUGUGUGACAUAGUAAGUUGAUAUGAAGUGUGCAUAUAUGUUGUAAAUAAUAGAUUUUAUGACUGGUACUGUGGUACAUGUACACGAUUUUGUAGUUUUGCAUUCCUUGCAUGGUAUUCUGUUCAGGAUUUGAUCUAUAAAUACAGUCCAUAAACAUCAUACCUUCAGUCUCAUGAACUGUUGACCCAUGUGAACAUUCAUUCAAUUUUUAACAUAAACUACAAUAUAGAUUACAAAUAGUUAUCUCUUUUAUUAUAUAGAGACCUUAAAUUUAUGAUGGAAUAAAGAUUAGAAUUUCCUUCAUAAUUAAUUGUAGGCCUACAUUUGCCAAAAUCAACAGUGAUCUGAGAAGAAUCUGCUGAAGCUUAACAUUUCAGUUGGGAAAUACUGUCUUGAAAUAGUUCCCUCACAAGUGUUUGGCACAAAUAUAGAUGUUUAAGUUCCCUAUUCUAAUUCUUUUAUUUCCAAUUUCAAGAUGUUGACAAUGUAUUUUACUGUAGGAAUUUUUUUUUACUGUACUCAUGACUGUAAUGUUACAUGUAUGUUCACCUUGUUUACAUGUAAGUAACAGCAGGUAUAUUUUCUGGUCACUGAGCCUUUGACCUUUAAAGAGGAGUUUAUGAUUGAUGGUUUCAAACAUGUGCUGGAUGAAAGUGAAUUCAUAGGUCACAGACUUUAUUACUUAACCUAUCUUCAGUACAUUGAAUGGUGUCUUGAUACUCAUGGAGAUAAAGAGAGAAUAUUAUUGUUCAUGUAGUCCAGACUUGUUGUUCUCAUAUGAAAUUGUGAAAACCGCUCUGGCCUUGUAUCUAGGAUACAAAGUGACAAUAUACAACUGUAUUGUGCAAUGACAAAUAGAAGAUUGUAAUUGGAAGACUGGUGGGGGGAUGGGGAUGUAACAUAAAUCUUAUCACCUUUUGCAAUUUCUGGACACGGAUUGCUGUAGACUUUACGGUCAAGUAAAGUGUUCAAUUGAUUUCCCUGGUUCAUUAUUUUGGGGUGACAUUUUCCCCUUCUUGUUUAAUGAUUAAUUAUAUGUACUGCCCCUUUCGAGAACUUGAGACCAAGAUGAUUAACUGUAUAACAUAAGGAUUUGAAGUUCAUUGUAUUACUAUGAGGAAUAGGAACAUUUAAGCAGUGAUUAAAAAAACAAUGUGCAGGAUGCCAAAUAAAAACGCCAACAUGAGAAUAUACUUAAGUUAUUACCCAGGUUAAGCAUACAUGUAGACACUCCUGGUAUCCUAUUAUUACGCUAGUACUGGUUGCUAUGUAAUUGAUUACUAAUUUUGGAUUGCCCUUUGUAUGCAACUAGUGUUUUCAUGAUUAAUGCAAUUCAUUUCAAUAUGUUUACUGUUUACAAUAGUUUUAUCAUGGAUUGUUCUAUGGUUUGUUCCAUUUUCUAUUUAUAUUAAAGCUUUACUUAUGACGCAGAGGAGUGAAUUAUUGUAUACUCACAGGGGCCGCAGAGGGGGGGGGGGGGGUAAUUUGUGAUAGUUUGUUGUGUUCCAUUAAUUUGUCUGAGUGUGGAUGUACAACAUUGUCCAUGGAUGUUAAGUGGAGAACUAUGCAAGAAUAAUGCCACCACAAAUAUUCAACAAAAAGAUGCCAAUUUACCAUAUUUGUCAGUAUAAGUUGACUUAUUUGAUUGUGGUAUCCAACCCAUCAAUACUUUGGUCAGAUUAUCAUUUCAAACAUAUAACUUCAUCUAUUUCCCCCCAAAUGUACAGUAUUUCCUUUGACUUUUUUAACAGAAUUUGAAGUGUGUUUACAGAAGUAAUGUAUGAGUGAUGAGAGGCACACUGAAAUGGGUAAUUUAGAAAUCUAAAGCAUUGUUAUGUAAUAUGUGUAAUUUAUUAAUGCAAGUACCUAUACAUUAAUUAGUUCUGCACAGAGUCUUAGAAAAUGUAACUCAAAAUUGAAAAAAAUGUACCCAUGGAUAUUAUCGUCAUGAAUAUUCAUUAGGUGGGCUGAUGAUAUCAUCAUCAGCCCACUUAAUGAAUAUUCAUGACGACUGUUUUCCCCAAAUAUUGCUAAACUUUAAAAUUCAAUAACUUUGUUAUUUAUUAUCCGAUUUUGAUGAAAUUUUUGGCAUUUUGCUCAGUGAAUUCUACUCUAUUUAUUAAGCUAUAAAUAUUUUCAGCCCGGACCAUCCCUUUAAAUGUGAAAUAAUAAUACCAUUUGGCACAGCAGAUGAUCAAUCAUUGUUUUUGGUGCAUACAUGUGUAUACAGUACCUUAUAUGAAUAUUUCUAAUAUGAUAGUGAUGUUCAAUUGCUCUAUAAUCUUUAAAGAACAAGUCCACUGCAACAAAAAGUUGAUUUGAAUAAAAAGAGAAAAAUCCAACGAACAUAACACUGAAAAUUUCAUCAAAAUCGGAUGUAAAAUAAGAAAGUUAUGACAUUUUAAAGUUUCGCUUAAUUUCACAAAACAGUUAUAUGCACAUCCUGGCUGAUAUGCAAAUGAGGAGACUAUGACGUCAUCCACUCACUAUUUCUUUUGUAUUUUUUAAUUGAAAUAUUUUAAUUUUCUCAUUGUCAAGUGAUACAACGAUUAAUUCCUCCCUGAACAUGUGGAAUUAGCAUUGUUUAAUACUAAUAUGGUUCAGUCAAGUUGGUCCUUAUUGUCAAAUCUAUAAAAAAUGAAAUAUUGUAUAAUUCAAACAAUAAAAAACAAAAGAAAUAGUGAUGGACAUCAUCGACUGACUCACCUAGUUGUGCAUAUCACUGUUUUGUGAAAAAUAAGCGGAACUUUAAAAUGUCAUAACUUUCUUAUUUUACAUCCGAUUUUGAUGAAAUUUUCAGCACUAUGCUAGUUUGAUUUUUCUCUAUUCAAGUCGGCAUUUUUCUGGGGUGGACUUGACCUUUAAUUCACACAUAAACCUUGUAGUUUCUUAUACGUAUUUAUUUGUGCAUGUACUAAGUUGAUUCUUUCAACAUUCAGAAUAUAGUUCAUUUCAGUAUUUGCAGUAUAUCUCUUCUGCCUUUGAUUGUAAUAUGAGUUCAUUCUUGAGGAAUAUAAUAAAUACAGAAAAUAACCUA
Lytechinus pictus (painted urchin) is the source of this 4994-nucleotide long non-coding RNA. RefSeq lists it as uncharacterized. NCBI's taxonomy places the organism in Eukaryota, Metazoa, Echinodermata, Echinoidea, Temnopleuroida, Toxopneustidae. The record is from RefSeq and is a predicted model, not a curated record. The transcript is spliced from 3 exons.